GCUGUAGCUCAGUGGUAGAGCAUCUGUCUUGCACGCAGAAGGUCCCAGGUUCAAUCUCUGCCAUCUCCA
Podarcis lilfordi (Lilford's wall lizard) is the source of this 69-nucleotide non-coding RNA. The record is from the annotation of a GenBank genome assembly. Lineage: Eukaryota; Metazoa; Chordata; Lepidosauria; Squamata; Lacertidae.